RNAcentral lists this ribosomal RNA (464 nucleotides) under uncultured bacterium. Its description in RNAcentral is "bacterial SSU rRNA". It matches the Rfam family "Bacterial small subunit ribosomal RNA", at positions 331 to 793 of the family's 1533-position model. The record is from RNAcentral.
CCAGACUCCUACGGGAGGCAGCAGUGAGGAAUAUUGGUCAAUGGCCGCAGGGCUGAACCAGCCAAGUCGCGUGAGGGAUGACGGUCCUAUGGAUUGUAAACCUCUUUUGUCAGGGAGCAAAGGGCGCCACGUGUGGCGUUUUGCGAGUACCCGAAGAAAAAGCAUCGGCUAACUCCGUGCCAGCAGCCGCGGUAAUACGGAGGAUGCGAGCGUUAUCCGGAUUUAUUGGGUUUAAAGGGUGCGCAGGCGGUCUGUAAAGGCGGCGGACAAAGCCGGGGGCCCCCCCCGGGCCCGCCGUUGAAACUGGCAGUCUCGAGUUGGAGAGAAGUAUGCGGAAUGCGCGGUGUAGCGGUGAAAUGCAUAGAUAUCGCGCAGAACUCCGAUUGCGAAGGCAGCAUGCCGGCUCCACACUGACGCUGAGGCACGAAAGCGUGGGUAUCGAACAGGAUUAGAUACCCCGGUAG